Molecule: ribosomal RNA, 423 nt
Filed under: uncultured bacterium
Lineage: Bacteria
Description: bacterial SSU rRNA
Rfam family: Bacterial small subunit ribosomal RNA
Source: RNAcentral
AAGACCUUGCGCUUUUGGAGCGGCCGAUGUCUGAUUAGCUUGUUGGURAGGUAAARGCUUACCAAGGCUUCGAUCAGUAGCUGGUCUGAGAGGACGACCAGCCACACUGGGACUGAGACACGGCCCAGACUCCUACGGGAGGCAGCAGUGGGGAAUUUUGGACAAUGGGGGCAACCCUGAUCCAGCCAUGCCGCGUGAGUGAAGAAGGCCUUCGGGUUGUAAAGCUCUUUCAGCCGGAAMGAAACGGUUACGGUUAAUACCCGUGACUACUGACGGUACCGGAAGAAGAAGCACCAGCUAACUACGUGCCAGCAGCCGCGGUAAUACGUAGGGUGCAAGCGUUAAUCGGAAUUACUGGGCGUAAAGGGUGCGCAGGUGGUUUUGUAAGUCAGAUGUGAAAUCCCCGGGCUUAACCUGGGAACU